Nicotiana tabacum (common tobacco) is the source of this 2464-nucleotide non-coding RNA. The record is from RefSeq and is a predicted model, not a curated record. Lineage: Eukaryota; Viridiplantae; Streptophyta; Magnoliopsida; Solanales; Solanaceae.
UAAAACUCUCAAAACCAGUAUAGAGCACAUAGUACGUUUUCUCUCUCUCUCAAAUCUCUCCGCCCUCUCUAAAAUCCCUUCUCUGCUAAAAGAAAAUAGCAAGGGAUUAUCUACUCCAAAUCUCUCAUAUCAAGAUAAGAAACUCAAUUAUCAGGAAUACCAAAAAGUCAUACAGAAAGACCCAUUUGAAGCCUAUUUGGUGAUUUUCAGUCUUGACAGAACUCUCACCUAUUUCUUUUUUGGGAGGGUCCAAAUGAUAGGACGAGGUAAAGGUCGAAGUGGAACUGGUCGUAGACGUGGCCAUUUUCAAGGACGUGAUAAUGCUGGAGCGAUGUCUCAGCCACAAGUACAACCAAUAAGGAAUACUGCAACAUAUGUGUCUCAGCCACAAGUACAACCAAUAGGGAAUACUGCAGCAUCUCCUGAGACAGGAGAAUAAAAUAAUCCUAGUCAAGAACCUCUAGAGAUAGGACAAAUAUCAAGUAACCCUUGGCAGAGACAUUCUAUAGAGAUAGUAUCGUCAAGGAAUCUGGACAGAAGUGUGCUUCCCUCUCCUGAAGUUGAAAAUGAAAAUGGUGCAGGUUAGUUUUUGAGUAUUCAGUUAUUACUCUUACUAGUGAUUAAAAAAAUGAUCGCUUUCUCGCUUUAAGAAAGAAGCGAGGCGAAGCAUGAAGGUCAUCGCUUCAGGUAAGAAAAGCGACUCUGGUAAGAAAAGCGACCGCUUCUCUGUAAAAAGCGAGAAGCGUUAGAAGCGUCCGAAAUUUUGAUUUUCAAUCUUCUUCUUCUUCUUCAGCAGCAACUUUCUUCAGAAGUUGAAGUUCUGCAAUUUUGAUUUUCAUUCUUCUUCUUCUUUUUCUUUUUCUUUCUAAACGUCCAAAAAGCUCCGAAAUGUUGGCGAUUAUUUUUGUCUUUAGUUCUUUAUCAGAAAAUUUCUGCCCAAUUUUUAUAUGAAGUAUUCAUAGUUCUUAUUGACUUUCUUAUGUGUUAUGUAGUUGUUCAAAAAUUGCAGUUUCUGCCCAAAAUUCUGCUUCUCGCUUCUUGUGAAAUGUGGGUUGUCGCUUUUCCUCGCUUCACGCUCUUCACAACACUGACUCUUACUCUUAACAUGACUGCAACUAUGUAGGCUGAUCACAUAUACUAUUUUUUCUUUGUAUAGUUUCUUCCAGCAGUAAAAAGAGAGAAAGAGGGAAAUAUAAAUCCAAAACAGUAGAUAUAAAAACUAAGUAUGGCGAAAAAAUUACAAUUACAAAUCCAGAUAAUAUUGAUAGAGCAGUAGGUACUGGGGCUAGAGAUAUUGUUAACUAUUGUGAUUUAAUCAUGAGGAGCACUAUCUCGUUCCGUGAUGAAAAUUGGCAAAAGAUUGUUUCAAAACAUGGAGAAGCAAUGUGGUUGAAGGUCAAGGAUAAAUUUGAAGUUCUUGGCGGCGUGCGAGAGCAUAGGAUUCAAGCCUUUGUUAUCGAUACUAUGUGACGGCUUUUCAGAGCUUGGAGAGCUCGACUGAGCAUUUGCUACUCUCGCCAUGCUGCUGAAGGAAACAUAUUGUCUCGUCGACCUAUAGAUGUUGAGCUAGAGGACUGGAAAUACUUAGUAGAGUAUUUUGGAAGUCCGGAAUUUAAGGUUGUAAGCGAGAGAAAUAGAAAGAAUAGGGAAAAGCAGAUAACUAAGCAUGCUUGUGGUACGAGGUCUUUUGCAGAAGUAGAGGAAUCGACGAAAAAUCCUGCUGCAGGAGAAAAGGAACCACUGGAUAGAGUUUGGGAGAUCUAACAUACACGUAAAAAUGAUAGAGGAGAAAUAGUGUGGGUGGAUCCACAAUCCCAGCAGAUUCACCUCCAGGACCUUGUGGCUCAGCAACAAUCUGAAGAGAUUGAGUAUCCCAUGACUAGAGCUGAGAUUUUAUCCUCAGUUCUUGAUGAAAGGACAGGCUAUGUUCGUGGUAAAGGGUAUGGAAAGAAGCCUCCAAAAAGUAGUCACACGCAAGCGACAAACAUAGAGGCUAGUGUGUCUUCUACAAUAGAAACUAUGCGUCAAGAGAUGCAAGCUGAUAUGGAUCGAAAGUUGCAAGCGGAACGUGAACAAAUGGCUACGGAGUUGAAUAGGAACAUGGAGCAAGAGUUACAAAGAAAGUUGAAUGAGAAGCUUGAACAUGUGAAUCUGGAAGUAGGGAACAGGGUCAGUCUAGAAGUAGCCAAGAAGAUCCAAGAACAACUGGGUGCUCUCAUGACCAGAAUGCAACAGGGACAAGGUUCUUAAACAAUAGAGACAACCAAGGAGGGGCUUCAAGGCACUUAGUAUUUUGCUCUUUUGGGAUGUAUAUGCAUACAAUGACAAUGAAGUAUUAUGCAUUAUAUAUGUAAUUCACAUUUUAGUAAUGGAAGUAUUUAAUAUUCGACUUAAGAUAUUCUUUUGGUGUUUGUAAAAUACUAUUGGAUGCGUUUAUAUAAUUUUGGUCAUUACAAUUGCUGAA